RNAcentral lists this ribosomal RNA (1167 nucleotides) under Nitrospirillum amazonense. Its description in RNAcentral is "partial 23S ribosomal RNA". It matches the Rfam family "Bacterial large subunit ribosomal RNA", at positions 1 to 1220 of the family's 2925-position model. The record is from RNAcentral. Lineage: Bacteria; Pseudomonadati; Pseudomonadota; Alphaproteobacteria; Rhodospirillales; Azospirillaceae.
AUCAAGUGAAAUAAGGGCAUCUGGUGGAUGCCUUGGCACUGAGAGGCGAUGAAGGACGUAGCACGCUGCGAUAAGCCAUGGGGAGCCGCGAGCAGGCAUUGAUCCGUGGAUUUCCGAAUGGGGAAACCCACCCAGCGAUGGGUAUCUUCAACUGAAUUCAUAGGUUGGAGAGGCGAACCCGGGGAACUGAAACAUCUAAGUACCCGGAGGAAAGGACAUCAACCGAGACUCCGCUAGUAGUGGCGAGCGAACGCGGACCAGGCCAGUGAUUGAUGCUACAUAACCGGAAAUGCCUGGAAAGGCAUGCCAGAGUGGGUGAAAGCCCCGUACGGGUAAACCGGCAUUGAUCCUCGAGUAGGGCGGGACACGUGAAAUCCUGUCUGAACGUGGGGGGACCACCCUCCAAGCCUAAGUACUCCUCAGUGACCGAUAGCGAACCAGUACCGUGAGGGAAAGGUGAAAAGCACCCCGACGAGGGGAGUGAAACAGUACCUGAAACCGGAUGCCUACAAGCAGUCGGAGCGUCUUAAGGCGUGACGGCGUACCUUUUGUAUAAUGGGUCAGCGACUUACAGUAUGCAGCGAGCUUAAGGCGAUAGCUGGAGGCGUAGCGAAAGCGAGUCUGAAUAGGGCGCUUUAGUUGCAUGCUGUAGACCCGAAACCUGAUGAUCUAUCCAUGGCCAGGCUGAAGGUGGGGUAACACCCACUGGAGGGCCGAACCCACGCCCGUUGAAAAGGUCGGGGAUGAGCUGUGGAUAGGGGUGAAAGGCCAAUCAAAUCAGGAAAUAGCUGGUUCUCCGCGAAAUCUAUUUAGGUAGAGCGUCGGAUGAUCACCCACGGGGGUAGAGCACUGGAUGGGCUAGGGGGGCGCGAGCCUUACCAAACCUAACCAAACUCCGAAUACCGUGGAGUGCAGUCCGGCAGCCAGACGGUCGGUGCUAAGGUCGAUCGUCGAGAGGGAAAGAGCCCAGACCGCCAGCUAAGGUCCCCAAGUGGUGGCUAAGUGGGAAAGGAUGUGGGAAGGCCAUGACAACCAGGAGGUUGGCUUAGAAGCAGCCAUCCUUUAAAGAAAGCGUAAUAGCUCACUGGUCUAGAUAAGCCGGCCUGCGCCGAAAAUGUAACGGGGCUUAAGCCACCCACCGAAGCUGCGGAUGCUUCCCUUUAUUGG